GCUGGCGCAGGUGGUGCUGGGCUGGCGGGCGGCGCUGACGGUGCCGCCGCUGUUAUGGCACGGCCACGAGAUGGUGUUCGGGUUCGCCACGGCGGCG
Molecule: transfer RNA, 97 nt
Filed under: mine drainage metagenome
Description: tRNA-Val
Source: RNAcentral